UUCUGAAAGGAGAUGUUCUGAAAGGAGAUGUUCUGAAAGGAAGUGCUCUGAAAGGAGGUGCUCUGAAAUGAGGUGUUCUGAAAUGAGGUGUUCUGAAAGGAGGUGCUCUGAAAGGAGGUGUUCUGAAAGGAAGUGCUCUGAAAGGAAGUGCUCUGAAAGGAGGUGCUCUGAAAUGAGGUGCUCUGAAAUGAGGUGUUCUGAAAGGAGGUGCUCUGAAAGGAGGUGUUCUGAAAGGAAGUGCUCUGAAAGGAGGUGUUCUGAAAUGAGAUGUUCUGAAAGGAGAUGUUCUGAAAGGAGGUGCUCUGAAAGGAGGUACUUUGAAAGGAAGUGCUCUGAAAGGAGAUGUUCUGAAAGGAGGUGUUCUAAAAGGAAGUGCUCUGAAAGGAAGAUGCUGAA
Molecule: long non-coding RNA, 396 nt
Organism: Solea senegalensis (Senegalese sole)
Lineage: Eukaryota; Metazoa; Chordata; Actinopteri; Pleuronectiformes; Soleidae
Exons: 4
Source: RefSeq, a predicted model, not a curated record